Salvia splendens (bonfire salvia) is the source of this 1328-nucleotide long non-coding RNA. RefSeq lists it as uncharacterized. NCBI's taxonomy places the organism in Eukaryota, Viridiplantae, Streptophyta, Magnoliopsida, Lamiales, Lamiaceae. The transcript is spliced from 10 exons. The record is from RefSeq and is a predicted model, not a curated record.
AGGAAAAAAUGAAAAAAGAGAAAAAAAAGAAAAAAAUAAAAAAAAUCUGACAUUGUAAGAGGCUCUCUUUAUUGCAUAGAAGCGUUGCACACUUAAUUGUUGGGACUCGUGGAUACUUGAAAGAAGUACCCAUGCUCAUAAAGCGCAUCAACUUAUGAAUUGGUGCAAGAAUCAUAUUCUUGUAUGUUGAGAUUGAAAAGUUCGUCCGAAGAGGAUGCAUUGGGAAUGCAACCGGGACCUGGUGAAGCUCGUGUUUUAUAUCUUGCCAGGUGGAUUUGGAGAUGAUCUGAAUCUGAAUUAUAUUGUGGGCAUGUUCUUGUUCAGGUGGCUGACAUUUCUGAUGAAUUGGGGAAGAAGCGUCGUCAGUGUGUUAUAUCCGGGGAAAAAGAGCAUGAAAAAGCUGAGAAAAAUACAGCUAUACAUCAACUACUCAACCACUGCAGAUAAAGAUAGUUACAAGUGCAUAUCUGUAGCAGAAACUAUCGCUUAAGACUGUGUUUUGGAGACUGCGAUGAAAGGCCAACAGUUUCAGCACAGAAACUUGUUGCUACAUGGUUCGUGGAAAUGGUUGGUGGAUUCAUUUGCAUCUUUUCUGGAGUUUUAGAUGCAUACACAAAGCUCAGAUACCUUUCAUACGUUAUGGAUAUCUCCACAGCAACAGUAGAUUAUCUUGAUUUGGUGCACGACAUUCUGCUGCCCGUGGUAAUCAAAGACAAAAGUAAGCACACAUUGAGUCACUAAGAGGCCAGUUUUCUGGGAGAAGUUUCUGUUUCUGUUCAAAUUGAGCAGAUGCUCACUCUGGUCUUCGAGAAUUUCAAGUAACUUGAUGAAUCAUCGAUGUCGGGUAUUAAGAUGUAUUCGGACCUGCAACAGGAUUGGCUGCACCUGCACUUGAUCCAGCUUUGAAGCUCUACAAAUGGUUGCAUGAUAUUCUUUCCCCGAGAUUGCUACGAGAAAAAGGUCAAUCAGGCACUUGUUUGAAAUUGAUGAGUUCUUUUCGACUAAUAACGAAAACAUGUUAUUGGAUCCCGUGGCUGUCUCCACAGCAUAUAUGAAAGGAAAAACUAAUGCAUGGGUCUCAAGAUGUGAAGGUAGCAGUGAAAAACAAAGUUCCUCUUGUAAGGUCGUUGACUUGAGCUGUGUUACAUUCUGUAUUGAAACAAGUAACACAGCGACCAUACCUAAGGUUCACGAGGAAUAUGUUCCCUCAUUUAUUUUGGAGUGGUCUAGGCAACUGGUAUGCUGUUUUAUCUUAUGAUGCAUCUGUCCGCCUAUGCCUCCACUCGUGGGCAAGGAGCUAUAUGAGAGCUCCUCCCUUUUUGGAAAUG